GUGCAGUCUCGCUCCCUGCUGCCUCUGGGAAGGACCGCUUGCCAUGGCAGGGUCCAGCCCCGUCCGGCUUGGUCCGCACGGAGCGGUCCUUCGCGAUGGACGCGGUGUCAGCCACUAGGCUCGCGGUCACUGUGUCCCCGGGCAUCCCCAAGCUGCUUCAGCCCCUGCGGAUUCUGUAUGCGGCCCUCGUAGCCUGGCUGCUGCAGGUGGUUGCUACCUUACCUGAGCAUGUUCAGCCGGGCCUGACUUUUAUGGGCUCCCCUGGAAGCCUGUGUUGUUCACUGCCUGUUUGGGA
RNAcentral lists this long non-coding RNA (295 nucleotides) under Cavia porcellus (domestic guinea pig). Its description in RNAcentral is "lncRNA (ENSCPOG00000037194.1)". Lineage: Eukaryota; Metazoa; Chordata; Mammalia; Rodentia; Caviidae. The record is from RNAcentral.